This 498-nucleotide ribosomal RNA is filed under the name uncultured bacterium. RNAcentral describes it as "partial 16S ribosomal RNA". It matches the Rfam family "Bacterial small subunit ribosomal RNA", at positions 30 to 523 of the family's 1533-position model. The record is from RNAcentral.
AUUGAACGCUGGCGGCAUGCCUUACACAUGCAAGUCGAACGGUAACAGGUCUUCGGAUGCUGACGAGUGGCGAACGGGUGAGUAAUACAUCGGAACGUGCCUAGUAGUGGGGGAUAACUACUCGAAAGAGUGGCUAAUACCGCAUGAGAUCUACGGAUGAAGGCAGGGGAUCGCAAGACCUUGUGCUACUAGAGCGGCCGAUGGCAGAUUAGGUAGUUGGUGGGAUAAAAGCUUACCAAGCCGACGAUCUGUAGCUGGUCUGAGAGGACGAUCAGCAACACGGGGACUGAGACACGGCCCAGACUCCUACGGGAGGCAGCAGUGGGGAAUUUUGGACAAUGGGCGAAAGCCUGAUCCAGCAAUGCCGCGUGCAGGAUGAAGGCCUUCGGGUUGUAAACUGCUUUUGUACGGAACGAAAAGCCCCGGGUUAAUACCCUGGGGUCACGACGGUACCGUAAGAAUAAGCACCGGCUAACUACGUGCCAGCCGCCGCCGUAA